Molecule: ribosomal RNA, 253 nt
Filed under: uncultured bacterium
Lineage: Bacteria
Description: partial 16S ribosomal RNA
Rfam family: Bacterial small subunit ribosomal RNA
Source: RNAcentral
UACGGAGGGUGCAAGCGUUAUCCGGAUUCACUGGGUUUAAAGGGUGCGUAGGUGGGUUGGUAAGUCAGUGGUGAAAUCCCCGAGCUUAACUUGGGAACUGCCAUUGAUACUAUCAGUCUUGAAUACCGUGGAGGUCAGCGGAAUAUGUCAUGUAGCGGUGAAAUGCUUAGAUAUGACAUAGAACACCAAUUGCGAAGGCAGCUUACUACACAGUUAUUGACGCUGAGGCACGAAAGCGUGGGGAUCAAACAGG